This 522-nucleotide ribosomal RNA is filed under the name Triticum aestivum (bread wheat). Its description in RNAcentral is "partial small subunit ribosomal RNA". The record is from RNAcentral. Lineage: Eukaryota; Viridiplantae; Streptophyta; Magnoliopsida; Poales; Poaceae.
AUGGAACAAUAUACAUUUGUCGCUGAAAGUAGGCUUGGGAAGUUGCCAGUUAAGGACAAAGCUUCUGGAAAGAAGCAAGCAUCUUCCAAGGGAAGCUUGACUAAAGCUGUUCAGGGCGGUUUGGGUACUGAAUCGUACGAGUUAAUGGCAAAGAUUCCUAGUUCACCCUUAGUAGGCCUAAAACUAUUUGUACAGAUAUGUGUAUGUACCUAUUCAUUUGUGAUGACGACAAUGAGAUCAGUUUUGUUUCUGUCAAAAGGAUGGCGUCGAGCUGAGCAGCCUUUGAUACACCGCAUUAGGAGCCCAGGUGUUGCCUUCCUGAUAAAUCUGGCUACAACCGACCGGCAUGAGCUCGCUUUGGCCCCUCCGAUCUUGCAGCUACUGCCUCAUCGCCAACCUACAACAAAAAAGGUGAGCCUCCUGCCUUUAUAUGUUGUCACGAUUAAUAAGGUUGGAGUAGCUUUAUUAAUGGAUGAAAUCCCCUGCCUGUUCCGUUCACCACCCCAAGUGACCAUUGUUUAG